GCACUAGUCUAGAGGUUAGUAUCCUGUAUUUAUUUGCUUCUUUAGCACCAGUGAAAAUCUGCUGCUACUCUCUGAGUCAAGGAUAGGUAAACUUUUUUCAUGUGGAGAGCCCCUGACAUAAAACAAAAUAUACUCUAAUAUCAAAAUUAAGAACCACAGUAUUUUAAGAAACUUGUUUCAUAAGAUGUAAUGUAAGUACAUAUCAACUGAGGUUUAAAAUCUUUCUGUUCUUCAUUACGGUAAUCUCAGGGGGAGGAUGGAAGUGGAGCACAA
RNAcentral lists this long non-coding RNA (273 nucleotides) under Homo sapiens (human). RNAcentral's name for it is "non-protein coding lnc-ASTE1-4:1". The record is from RNAcentral. Lineage: Eukaryota; Metazoa; Chordata; Mammalia; Primates; Hominidae.